Molecule: ribosomal RNA, 603 nt
Filed under: uncultured bacterium
Lineage: Bacteria
Description: bacterial SSU rRNA
Rfam family: Bacterial small subunit ribosomal RNA (bases 1-532)
Source: RNAcentral
CCUACGGGAGGCAGCAGUAGGGAAUAUUGGGCAAUGGAGGCAACUCUGACCCAGCCAUGCCGCGUGCAGGAUGAAGGCGUUAUGCGUUGUAAACUGCUUUUAUAUAGGAAGAAAGAGUUCUUGCGAGAACAGUUGACGGUACUAUAUGAAUAAGCACCGGCUAACUCCGUGCCAGCAGCCGCGGUAAUACGGAGGGUGCAAGCGUUGUCCGGAUUUAUUGGGUUUAAAGGGUGCGUAGGCGGUUUAUUAAGUCAGUGGUGAAAGACGGUCGCUCAACGAUUGCAGUGCCAUUGAUACUGGUAGACUUGAGUGAGAUUGAGGUAGCUGGAAUGGAUAGUGUAGCGGUGAAAUGCAUAGAUAUUAUCCAGAACACCAAUUGCGUAGGCAAGUUACUAAGUCUCAACUGACGCUGAGGCACGAAAGUGUGGGUAUCAAACAGGAUUAGAUACCCUGGUAGUCCACACUGUAAACGAUGAUAACUAACUGUUGGCUUUCGGGUCAGUGGUACAGAGAAAUCGUUAAGUUAUCCNCGUGGNGGACGCGCGACGAGAAGUAAAGUAGAGUAGAGNGNGAGAGAGCGACGGACGACGACGAGGGAGGAGG